AUAGGUCGUCCAACAUCGUAACAGUCUAAUAGACACGACACGUAUCUCUUCCUGAAGAAUUUGAUCGCCCUCUAUCCUUGCUGCCACACCGCCGGCCGGGGAUGCGCGAGCCGAUGCCUCCGAUCCAGACAAGUCAACUAAUGAAGAGCAUGGAGUUUUGCAACACCAAUUCAGCACGAAGUACAGGAAGAUCUCACCGCCACAUGAAGAUAGAGAAAGAGAGAACCGUGAUGACGUGAUAGAUUACAGCUGCACGAUAUGGUGAGUUCCACCGGCGUGAAUUGCUGGCUGGCUAAACAUGAUAGGAUGCAAUCCACAUCUUCUUCAUGCUUUAUAAGAAAAAUUAGCUCCGUGCUUUCUCUAAUCCCCAUGAUCGAAGUAUAUGUCGAUGCACAUGAGGAGAGGAGUCCUCCCAAGUUCCCAACUGUCCUCUCGCCUUCCUCCAAUUAGUGCAGUGCUAAGCAUUACAACAAGGAGGCGAGGUUAUGAACAAAGGCAGAGAAGAGGGACAUGUGUGACGGGAGAAUCACAUAGCCUACAUCAGGAUCUGGUAGCAUGUUUUUUUUCUUAAGUUGUAAAUUGACAUCAAAUCGAGUAUAUUCUUCUUCUUCUAUUUACUUCAUAUGUAAAUUUCAUUUGUAGUCACGUCCUAAUAGUCAUGUGUACGUUGAUAUUUUGG
Molecule: long non-coding RNA, 679 nt
Filed under: Hordeum vulgare
Lineage: Eukaryota; Viridiplantae; Streptophyta; Magnoliopsida; Poales; Poaceae
Description: long non-coding RNA (HVUL_LNC003211)
Source: RNAcentral